AAACGCUGGCGGCGUGCCUAACACAUGCAAGUCGUACGAGAAAGUCGGCUUCGGCCGAUGAGUACAGUGGCGCACGGGUGAGUAGCGCGUGGGUAAUCUGCCCCCCGGUCAGGAAUAACCCGCCGAAAGGCGGGCUAAUACCCGAUAACACUGACGCUCCGCGGAGCGUCUUUCAAAGGAGGCCUCUGUUUACAAGCUUUCGCCGGAGGAUGAGCCCGCGUACCAUUAGCUAGUUGGCAGGGUAAUGGCCUACCAAGGCUGCGAUGGUUAGCUGGUCUGAGAGGAUGGCCAGCCACACUGGAACUGAGACACGGUCCAGACUCCUACCGGAGGCAGCAGUGAGGAAUCUUGCGCAAUGGGGGAAACCCUGACGCAGCAACGCCGCGUGAGUGAGGAAGGCCUUCGGGUCGUAAAGCUCUGUCAGAUGGGAAGAAAUGGGUGGGGGCUAAUAUCGCCCAUCCUUGACGGUACCAUCAGAGGAAGCACCGGCUAACUCCGUG
Molecule: ribosomal RNA, 500 nt
Filed under: uncultured bacterium
Lineage: Bacteria
Description: bacterial SSU rRNA
Rfam family: Bacterial small subunit ribosomal RNA
Source: RNAcentral